RNAcentral lists this transfer-messenger RNA (323 nucleotides) under Elioraea tepida. RNAcentral's name for it is "Alphaproteobacteria transfer-messenger RNA". It matches the Rfam family "Alphaproteobacteria transfer-messenger RNA". Rfam says of the family: Bacterial tmRNA, also known as 10Sa RNA or SsrA, is named for its dual tRNA and mRNA-like properties. Its role is to liberate the mRNA from a stalled ribosome. To accomplish this part of the tmRNA is used as a reading frame that ends in a translation stop signal. The record is from Rfam by way of RNAcentral. Lineage: Bacteria; Pseudomonadati; Pseudomonadota; Alphaproteobacteria; Acetobacterales; Elioraeaceae.
CCCCUUCCGCCGGGCCCGCCCGUUUCCUAUAAUCCGGGCUGCCGGGGCAACCCGGCUAUGGCGAUAAACGGUGCCUGGAAUAAGCGUAGCGGACCCGGGGGCAGUGCCCGGCGCCUCCACCAUCAUCUCCCCCUGCGGCGGGGGCCUUAAGGGGGCGAAACAGGCUCGACGCGCGUGGUAAAGAGGUACCUUUCGCCCGGCACGGUUCCGCCGUCAUCGGGCCAAUCCACAAGUGCCAACGACAACAGCCGUAUGGCGCUCGCUGCCUGAUCUGAUCGGGUAAGCGCGGUUCGGGGGGCACCGGGCAACAGAAGCCCCCCACU